Molecule: non-coding RNA, 412 nt
Organism: Xyrichtys novacula (pearly razorfish)
Lineage: Eukaryota; Metazoa; Chordata; Actinopteri; Labriformes; Labridae
Source: the annotation of a GenBank genome assembly
AUGUCUCCUAAAAGGUCGUAUCCUCCGAUCGUAGCUGAUCGUAAACAUUCAAGUUAACGUGUCAAUUUACACCGACUUCUUUCCGUUCCUCUGCGGAUCACAAGAGUUCUAUUUUUUCAGGACGCCGGAGCAUGGCGGAUAAAUUCAGCACAGAUUAACCCGUGCUGGAAAGGAAGUCGGGCACAGACACAAAAUAAAACAUCCGGCUUCUUUUCAAAAUAAAACACUCCGUGUUUCAGGAGGAUCGUAUUUCACACCAUGCAAACGGGCGGAGACGAACAAGUGAAAGGUUUUUAGACGUCAUUUCACCCCGAUGACACCAUGGAUGAGGAGAUGCUGAUUCUAGAAGUCUAGAAGUAGAUUUCCUCCUCUGGAAGGACACAAUCUACUGCUUAUAUGUCUAUGUGGCUGU